This 801-nucleotide ribosomal RNA is filed under the name uncultured bacterium. RNAcentral describes it as "bacterial SSU rRNA". It matches the Rfam family "Bacterial small subunit ribosomal RNA", at positions 8 to 809 of the family's 1533-position model. The record is from RNAcentral.
AGAGUUUGAUCCUGGCUCAGGAUGAACGCUCUUGGCGUGCCUAACACAUGCAAGUCGAACGAAGCGCUUAAGACGGACCCUUCGGGGGAAGAUUUAAGUGACUGAGUGGCGGACGGGUGAGUAACGCGUGGGCAACCUGCCCUGUACAGGGGGAUAACAGUUGGAAACGGCUGCUAAUACCGCAUAAGCGCACAGUGGGACAUCCCACGGUGUGAAAAACUCCGGUGGUACAGGAUGGGCCCGCGUCUGAUUAGCUAGUUGGCAGGGUAACGGCCUACCAAGGCAACGAUCAGUAGCCGGUCUGAGAGGAUGAACGGCCACAUUGGAACUGAGACACGGUCCAAACUCCUACGGGAGGCAGCAGUGGGGAAUAUUGCACAAUGGGGGAAACCCUGAUGCAGCAACGCCGCGUGAGUGAAGAAGUAUUUCGGUAUGUAAAGCUCUAUCAGCAGGGAAGAUAAUGACGGUACCUGACUAAGAAGCUCCGGCUAAAUACGUGCCAGCAGCCGCGGUAAUACGUAUGGAGCAAGCGUUAUCCGGAUUUACUGGGUGUAAAGGGUGCGUAGGCGGCAAGGCAAGUCAGAUGUGAAAGACCGGGGCUCAACUCCGGGGCUGCAUUUGAAACUGUUUUGCUGGAGUCCAGGAGAGGCAGGCGGAAUUCCUAGUGUAGCGGUGAAAUGCGUAGAUAUUAGGAGGAACACCAGUGGCGAAGGCGGCCUGCUGGACUGGUACUGACGCUGAGGCACGAAAGCGUGGGGAGCAAACAGGAUUAGAUACCCUGGUAGUCCACGCCGUAAACGA